RNAcentral lists this ribosomal RNA (524 nucleotides) under uncultured microorganism. Its description in RNAcentral is "bacterial SSU rRNA". It matches the Rfam family "Bacterial small subunit ribosomal RNA", at positions 9 to 527 of the family's 1533-position model. The record is from RNAcentral.
GAGUUUGAUCGUGGCUCAGAUUGAACGCUGGCGGCAGGCCUAACACAUGCAAGUCGAGCGGAUGAAGGGAGCUUGCUCCUGGAUUCAGCGGCGGACGGGUGAGUAAUGCCUAGGAAUCUGCCUGGGUAGUGGGGAUAACGUCCGGAAACGGGCGCUAAUACCGCAUACGUCCUGAGGGAGAAAGUGGGGGAGUCUUCGGACCUCACGCUAUCAGAUGAGCCUAGGUCGGAUUAGCUAGUUGGUGGGGUAAAGGCCUACCAAGGCGACGAUCCGUAACUGGUCUGAGAGGAUGAUCAGUCACACUGGAACUGAGACACGGUCCAGACUCCUACGGGAGGCAGCAGUGGGGAAUAUUGGACAAUGGGCGAAAGCCUGAUCCAGCCAUGCCGCGUGUGUGAAGAAGGUCUUCGGAUUGUAAAGCACUUUAAGUUGGGAGGAAGGGCAGUAAGUUAAUACCUUGCUGUUUUGACGUUACCAACAGAAUAAGCACCGGCUAACUUCGUGCCAGCCGCCGCCGUAACACC